GACGAACGCUGUCGGCGUGCUUAACACAUGCAAGUCGAACGGAAAGGCCCUGCUUUUGUGGGGUGCUCGAGUGGCGAACGGGUGAGUAACACGUGAGUAACCUGCCCUUGACUUUGGGAUAACUUCAGGAAACUGGGGCUAAUACCGGAUAGGAGCUCCUGCUGCAUGGUGGGGGUUGGAAAGUUUCGGCGGUUGGGGAUGGACUCGCGGCUUAUCAGCUUGUUGGUGGGGUAGUGGCUUACCAAGGCUUUGACGGGUAGCCGGCCUGAGAGGGUGACCGGCCACAUUGGGACUGAGAUACGGCCCAGACUCCUACGGGAGGCAGCAGUGGGGAAUAUUGCACAAUGGGCGGAAGCCUGAUGCAGCAACGCCGCGUGCGGGAUGACGGCCUUCGGGUUGUAAACCGCUUUCGCCUGUGACGAAGCGUAAGUGACGGUAAUGGGUAAAGAAGCACCGGCUAACUACGUG
Molecule: ribosomal RNA, 468 nt
Filed under: uncultured bacterium
Lineage: Bacteria
Description: partial 16S ribosomal RNA
Rfam family: Bacterial small subunit ribosomal RNA
Source: RNAcentral